Long non-coding RNA from Salvia miltiorrhiza (redroot sage), 686 nucleotides. RefSeq lists it as uncharacterized. The record is from RefSeq and is a predicted model, not a curated record. NCBI's taxonomy places the organism in Eukaryota, Viridiplantae, Streptophyta, Magnoliopsida, Lamiales, Lamiaceae. The transcript has 2 exons.
CUGAAGCUGAACUGAUCUGUUGUUUGAAUUUUUCGAGUUAUUGUGAUGGUUUCGAUUAAUUGGAGGUCUCUCUCUGGCUAGGGUUGGGGCUGUUUUCGAUGACUUUUUGAUUGAAUGUGCUUCUUAUAGGGUAUUGCGUUGCAGCUGUUUUGUAUUUGAGGUUUUUCUGUUGAUGGUUUCGUAAGGAGCUAAGCAUGUUUUGUGUCCACUGAACUAUUCGAUUUUUUAGUGAAAGUGGGCUUUUUUGUUGUGAUGACAUGUCGGUGAAUCAAGUGUAACUUUGCAACUCAUGGGAUUCAUGACAAGAUUUUGCUCAAAUGGUGCUAAAAUGGAAUUGAGAUCAGCCACAUGUUUUUGUCUUUUCUACCUCUCUCAAAGUCGAAGCAUUUGUUGAUAGUGAUGGAUUAUCUCGGGAAAUAGGGCAAGAUCAUAUAAUUUAUCUCUGCACCUAGCCAAUGUAUAUUAAUGUUAACUCAAAUAAAUUGACCUGUUUCUUUCUUUAUGUUGUCAAUCUUUAGAAGUCUGUAUUCAUGGGAUUCAAGAAAAGAUAUUAUUCAAAAUGGAGUGAAAAUUCGAGAGAAUGGCAUUCUUUGCUACAUGCCAUAACUCAAAUUUAGUACUUCCAUUAAUGUCUCCUCUUCUUGGUAUGUUUGAAUAAUGAUGAUACACGCUUGGUAUUUCUUUCA